GACGUAGGGUCCGAGCGUUGUCCGGAGUUACUGGGCGUAAAGGGCGCGUAGGCGGACAGUUUAGUCAGAGGUGAAAGCCCAGGGCUCAACCUUGGAAUUGCCUUUGAUACUGGCUGUCUUGAGUUCGGGAGAGGUGAGUGGAAUGCCGAGUGUAGAGGUGAAAUUCGUAGAUAUUCGGCGGAACACCAGUGGCGAAGGCGACUCACUGGCCCGAUACUGACGCUGAGGCGCGAAAGCGUGGGGAGCAAACAGG
RNAcentral lists this ribosomal RNA (253 nucleotides) under uncultured bacterium. RNAcentral's name for it is "partial 16S ribosomal RNA". It matches the Rfam family "Bacterial small subunit ribosomal RNA", at positions 524 to 776 of the family's 1533-position model. The record is from RNAcentral.